GGCUGUUCUUGGGUGAUGCACCCUGGAAUUGGGCUCCCUCCUGUCUGGUUUCAGGUGUGUCACCUGAGAACCACA
Molecule: non-coding RNA, 75 nt
Organism: Myotis lucifugus (little brown bat)
Lineage: Eukaryota; Metazoa; Chordata; Mammalia; Chiroptera; Vespertilionidae
Source: Rfam